Poecilia latipinna (sailfin molly) is the source of this 917-nucleotide long non-coding RNA. RefSeq lists it as uncharacterized. The transcript has 3 exons. Lineage: Eukaryota; Metazoa; Chordata; Actinopteri; Cyprinodontiformes; Poeciliidae. The record is from RefSeq and is a predicted model, not a curated record.
CAGGUAACUUUUCAGCAAUGAAUAUAAGCUUGUUUUAAGUCAAUAAUUUCUUAAUAUUGAUGAAAACGUUCCAGUUACACAGGCAGAUCAUUUCACUAAUAAUGUGGGAAAAUCCCUUGUUUCACAUAAAAUAAUAUGGCAGUGGAUCUAAUACUGUCUCAUCAAUAUUAAUGGAUUAUUUACUUAAAACAACCUCCUGCAGCUUCCUGAAACAUUACUGGUAAGUUAGUUUUGUUUUACAUCAAGACAAAACUAGACUAAACACUAAAAACUGGACAAAAAUACUUGGUAGAUUUUCUGCUUUUACAAUAAAAUACAGUGAGGUUUGGCUGUAAUGUGACUGAUUGUGUUUGCUCAACAUUCUGAAUAUUUUCUUCUCCUCCCCUCCUUUUGUCCUGCAAUUUGCUGUUAGUUGUUAGUUAUUCUUUUAUAUGUUGGACCUUUGAAAAGCUCGGUUCUCCUAAUAAAUUCCCAAACAAUUAAAACCCGCCCCGCCCUCCUCUCCCCAGCGCUGUGCUCCCUGCAGCAUGAUCCUGGACAGAUUAAAACUCCAGUUAUAUAAUCUGCAGAAAUGGCGGAUGGAUGGGGGGAAAUAUCUACGCUCAAACAAGAGAGAAGAAGAGAAAACUCUGCAGAACAUCGUCUGUAGCAUCAGCCCGAGCCUCCUCUCUCUCUGGAUCGUCGGAGCAGAUGCAGAAACUGCGAUUUGCUGGCUCAUGCAUCCACACCACGUCCCUCCCUUCCCCCGCCUGCUGCUCGCCCUGCACGCUCUCCGAGCGGUUUGUUUUUGUUGCGUACCUUCUGGUGUGGGAUGACAGGCAUCGGUGAGUCCAUUCUUGGAGCUGCCGUGGGAACUGGUACAGGACGUCUGGAUCUACAAAUGUAACAAAAUUUUUAUUAAAAAUUUAUUGACUUGA